RNAcentral lists this ribosomal RNA (400 nucleotides) under uncultured dinoflagellate. Its description in RNAcentral is "partial small subunit ribosomal RNA". It matches the Rfam family "Eukaryotic small subunit ribosomal RNA", at positions 30 to 432 of the family's 1831-position model. The record is from RNAcentral. Lineage: Eukaryota; Dinophyceae.
GCUUGUCUCAAAGAUUAAGCCAUGCAUGUCUUAGUGUAAAUAACUCUUAUGAAACUGCGAAUGGCUCAUUAAAUCAGUUAUCAAAUACGUGAUGGUCGCCUACUACAUGGAUAACCGUAGUAAUUCUAGAGCUAAUACAUGCUGUUUUGCCUGACUCUGUGGUAAGGCUGUGCUUAUUAGUACCAGAACCAACCCAAGUUCUGCUUGGUUGCAUCCUGAUUCAUAAUAAACGAAUGGAUUGCAUGCUUUGGCUGGCAAUGUAGCAUCUAAGUUUCUGACCUAUCAGCUUCCGACGGUAAGGUAUUGGCUUACCGUGGCAAUGACGGGUAACGGAGAAUUAGGGUUUGAUUCCGGAGAGGGAGCCUGAGAAACGGCUACCACAUCUAAGGAAGGCAGCAGG